This 253-nucleotide ribosomal RNA is filed under the name uncultured bacterium. RNAcentral describes it as "partial 16S ribosomal RNA". It matches the Rfam family "Bacterial small subunit ribosomal RNA", at positions 524 to 776 of the family's 1533-position model. The record is from RNAcentral.
UACGUAGGGGGCUAGCGUUGUUCGGAUUCAUUGGGCGUAAAGGGUGCGUAGGCGGCGCGGUAAGUCGGGUGUGAAAUCUCGGGGCUUAACUCCGAAGCUGCAUUCGAUACUGCCGUGCUUGAGGACUGGAGAGGAGACUGGAAUUUACGGUGUAGCGGUGAAAUGCGUAGAUAUCGUAAGGAAGACCAGUGGCGAAGACGGGUCUCUGGACAGUUCCUGACGCUGAGGCACGAAGGCCAGGGGAGCAAACGGG